AACGAACGCUGGCGGCAUGCCUAACACAUGCAAGUCGAACGAGACCUUCGGGUCUAGUGGCGCACGGGUGCGUAACGCGUGGGAACCUGCCCUUAGGUUCGGAAUAACUCCCCGAAUGGGGUGCUAAUACCGGAUAAUGUCUUCGGACCAAAGAUUUAUCGCCUUUGGAUGGGCCCGCGUUGGAUUAGCUAGUUGGUAGGGUAAAAGCCUACCAAGGCGACGAUCCAUAGCUGGUCUGGGAGGAGGAUCAGCCACACUGGGACUACGACACGGCCCAGAAUCCUACGCAAGGGAGCAGAGGGUAACAUAGUACGCUGGACGCAGGCCUGAUCCAGCAGUGCCGGGUGAGAGAUGAUUGGGUUUGUGAAGUAAUGCUGUUUUAGCCGGGGUGUUAAUGACGGUACCGGGUGAAUAAGCACCGGCUAACUACGUG
Molecule: ribosomal RNA, 433 nt
Filed under: uncultured bacterium
Lineage: Bacteria
Description: partial 16S ribosomal RNA
Rfam family: Bacterial small subunit ribosomal RNA
Source: RNAcentral